UGUGAGAGAAACAAGGAAGGCCUUAGGAGAGGGUCUCCCCACACUUUCCUUAUGGGGGCUACUGUUUGGCUGAAAGUUGGGCCGAGCGAGUAAGAAGUUUCCUUUUCUUUUCAGAGAGCUGGCUCCUUGAAUGCAAGCCCAGGUAUGGAAGAGUGGACAGAGCAGGCCCUAGGGGCCCAGCCAGACCCGAGUCUGAAUGCUUUCUCGGACACACACUAACUUGUGGGACAUUGGCAAGUCAUCUAAGCUGCCCAAGCGUCCAUAUCCUCAGCUAAAAAAAUGGAUCAUCCCGAGUGCUCUUCAUCCAGAGAUCACGAAAGCGCUCUUAGCCUGAGAGGAGCUGAAGGAGAGCGAGCGGAGCAGAGAGACCACACCUCUCCGCUGGCCAUACCAUCAGCUUCAGCAGCCGCGGGGUGACAUUCCUGCCUCUCAGCCUGACUCACGCAUGUCCGGUGGGACUGUGAAGCAGGAGCAUGGAAUGCAGUGCAUUCCAGAGGAAAUAUUAUCAAAGACCAUUAUCAGGGCCGCCUUGUGUUUAUCUACUAGGGAACAAACGAAAAUCUCCAAGGUUGUGUCUACCUUUGGAAUGUGCCAGAUUCUUUGGGAUAACCCAGCCUGUUAUUUCCUCUCAGCUCCGGCUUUACUUUGGCUUCAGCUCUUUCCAUUCCCAGGCCCAUCUCCACCUGCCCCUCCUUGAGUGAAUAAACCUCGUCUCUGCCUU
Long non-coding RNA from Echinops telfairi (small Madagascar hedgehog), 721 nucleotides. RefSeq lists it as uncharacterized. NCBI's taxonomy places the organism in Eukaryota, Metazoa, Chordata, Mammalia, Afrosoricida, Tenrecidae. The transcript is spliced from 2 exons. The record is from RefSeq and is a predicted model, not a curated record.